AAUAGAUACCCGGGUAGUCCACGCCGUAAACGAUGAGUGCUAAGUGUUAGAGGGUUUCCGCCCGUUUAGUGCUGCAGCUAACGCAUUAAGCACUCCGCCUGGGGAGUACGGCCGCAAGGCUGAAACUCAAAGGAAUUGACGGGGGCCCGCACAAGCGGUGGAGCAUGUGGUUUAAUUCGAAGCAACGCGAAGAACCUUACCAGGUCUUGACAUCCUCUGCCAACCCUAGAGAUAGGGCGUUCCCCUUCGGGGGACAGAGUGACAGGUGGUGCAUGGUUGUCGUCAGCUCGUGUCGUGAGAUGUUGGGUUAAGUCCCGCAACGAGCGCAACCCUUGAUCUUAGUUGCCAGCAUUCAGUUGGGCACUCUAAGGUGACUGCCGGUGACAAACCGGAGGAAGGUGGGGAUGACGUCAAAUCAUCAUGCCCCUUAUGACCUGGGCUACACACGUGCUACAAUGGAUGGUACAAAGAGCUGCGAACCCGCGAGGGUAAGCGAAUCUCAUAAAGCCAUUCUCAGUUCGGA
RNAcentral lists this ribosomal RNA (523 nucleotides) under uncultured bacterium. RNAcentral's name for it is "bacterial SSU rRNA". It matches the Rfam family "Bacterial small subunit ribosomal RNA", at positions 777 to 1297 of the family's 1533-position model. The record is from RNAcentral.